RNAcentral lists this long non-coding RNA (693 nucleotides) under Androctonus crassicauda. The record is from RNAcentral. Lineage: Eukaryota; Metazoa; Arthropoda; Arachnida; Scorpiones; Buthidae.
UGUACAUUAAUAAUUACGGUGAUUAAUCCCCUGUGUAGUUGUUUAGUAAUGAUUAGUUACUCUCUAGAUCAAAAAUAAGAAUUUUUGAUAAUUAAUGUUUGUGAGAUGAUAAUGUGAGACCAUGUACAACAGAAACUGCAUAAAAUUGUUAAUUUUUAUGUUCAGUUAUUAUAAAUAUCUUAAAAAGAAGAAAAAUAAACAUUUUACAAUCAACUUUGGUUUAUGGCUAAAUUUCUUCUAUUGUAAUUACAGAUUGAAUAGGGUCUUUUCCCUUGAGACACUAUCAGGUUGGAAAAAGGAUUCUUCUCAAAAGAAACAAAAAUCUAAUAAAAAAAAAUGAAGUAGAGAAGCAAAAAUCAUUUAAGUAAGAAGGCAUUAAUCACUUCCGAGAAAAAACUAAUGUAUCUUCAAUGGAAAGUGUUUUUUAUAAGGAUAGUAAAACCAUUUCCUUUGGAGAUGAUAAUUCUGGAGAAACUGGUGUUUCUCUCUCAGUAAAAGGAAUGAAGCCAUAAAUACAUAAACUAGGACUGAAAUGAUGGGAAGGUCUGAACCAGCAAUGCACAGCCUGCAGGCCACAUGCAGCCCUCUAUUGAUUUGUUGGUGGCACAUUUCACUAUAUGUUAUUUUAACAAGUCACACAAUCAACAAAAUAUUAUUUGUAGUUCUGAAUUAUGUUUUUUCAACUAAUAUUUU